CUAAUUAAUAUUAUAAUUAAUAGCACUUUAAGCAAUAUAAUUCUCCGUUAAGUUCCUAGAUUAGGGUUUCAAAUUCCUGAAAUCUGAAAUUAGGGUUUCUAAAUAUGGUAUUAGGCUUUUCUAAUAAUCAAUUAGGCUUUCAAGUAAUUCAUUAGGGUUUUCCCUGAUAAAUGACGUUUAAACCUUAUACAUAGUAUUCGCAUUCCUAAACUAGGGUUUUAUACACCAAAUUAGGGUUUUGAAUUCCCGGAACUGAAAUUAGGGUUUCCAGAACCGGUUUCUAGGGUUUCUUACAAUUCGCUAGGAUUUUCUAACUGAACGUUAAUGUUCUUAAUAUAUACCUAGGAUUUGUUACAAAUAUCGUUUAUCUGGUCAACCCUUGACCCUUAACCACAUACUGUACACAUAUAUAAUCAUAUUCACAGAACAUAUUCACUUAUUCCCUUAAUCCUGAAUAAUUCACUUAAAUCCUUAAUGGAAUUUUGAAAUCCUCAAAAUUCCUUCUCAAAAAUAUCAAACGCAUACACUUAUUUUCUGUCUAGGUUCUAAUAUUGAACCUUAAAUAAAUUAAUAAUAAUUUUAAAAAUUUUCUAAAUUCACGGGUUGUCACAUUCACCCCUUCUUCUAAAAAUUUCGUCCCCGAAAUUUACCUUACACCAUACACCAUUCACCAUUCAUUUUCAUCAUCACAUGCUACCCAAUACAUUUUUCACAUGAAUAAAGAUUUUGAAAUUGUGCUGAGGGGUUUUACAGACUAUUGUUUGUCAUUUUCGCAAAGGUUUUAUGGAAAUUCAUCCGCAAACCGUCUUAUCUUACGGACAUAGUGGGUAAUUAGCCUGAUAUACCCUGUACUUAUAAAGUACUUCUGGUCUGAUCUGUUUCUCGUCUCUGCCAUAGGCACAAAAAUUUUACCUCAGUCUUAUCGGAUUCCUCACCAAAAUAAUUUGGUUCGGGAAAUUUCUUUAAAUGAACACUUAGAGUUUUCAUAACAUUAGUCUAGCUGAAUCGAAUAGCAUAGACUCAUAUCAAUAAUUCAAUUCAAUCGAAU
RNAcentral lists this long non-coding RNA (1048 nucleotides) under Panax ginseng (ginseng). RNAcentral's name for it is "long non-coding RNA (PGIN_LNC002912)". The record is from RNAcentral. Lineage: Eukaryota; Viridiplantae; Streptophyta; Magnoliopsida; Apiales; Araliaceae.